AGAGCGAACGCUGGCGGCAGGCUUAACACAUGCAAGUCGAGCGGGCGUAGCAAUACGUCAGCGGCAGACGGGUGAGUAACGCGUGGGAACAUACCUUUUGGUUCGGAACAACACAGGGAAACUUGUGCUAAUACCGGAUAAGCCCUUACGGGGAAAGAUUUAUCGCCGAAAGAUUGGCCCGCGUCUGAUUAGCUAGUUGGUGAGGUAACGGCUCACCAAGGCGACGAUCAGUAGCUGGUCUGAGAGGAUGAUCAGCCACAUUGGGACUGAGACACGGCCCAAACUCCUACGGGAGGCAGCAGUGGGGAUAUUGGACAAUGGGCGAAAGCCUGAUCCAGCCAUGCCGCGUGAGUGAUGAAGGCCCUAGGGUUGUAAAGCUCUUUCGCCCGCGACGAUGAUGACGGUAGCGGGAGAAGAAGCCCGGCUAACUUCGCGCCAGCAGCCGC
Molecule: ribosomal RNA, 446 nt
Filed under: uncultured bacterium
Lineage: Bacteria
Description: SSU rRNA
Rfam family: Bacterial small subunit ribosomal RNA
Source: RNAcentral